Molecule: transfer RNA, 72 nt
Filed under: Bos taurus (domestic cattle)
Lineage: Eukaryota; Metazoa; Chordata; Mammalia; Artiodactyla; Bovidae
Also listed under: 5 other names
Rfam family: tRNA
About the family: Transfer RNA (tRNA) molecules are approximately 80 nucleotides in length.
Source: Rfam by way of RNAcentral
UCCCUGGUGGCUCAGACGGUAAAGAAUCCACCUGAAAUGUGGGAGACCUGGGUUCGAGCCCUAGGUUGGGAA